Molecule: unclassified non-coding RNA, 553 nt
Filed under: fungal sp. JH 100
Lineage: Eukaryota; Fungi
Description: sequence contains 18S rRNA gene, ITS1, 5.8S rRNA gene, ITS2 and 28S rRNA gene
Source: RNAcentral
CCCCAUAGAGGCAUCGACGGAUUAGAGGCACGGCACGGUUUCAUUCAUGCACUUCGGCGAGCGGCGAUCAUUAUCACGCCAAAAGCCUUGUCAUGCAAAGUCGAAAACAGACCGCAAGCCAAUACAUUUCAGAGGAGCCCGAGUCCCGAACACGAAUAUUCAGGUCUCCGGCAGCCCCCACUAUCCAAGCUCCACUCGAAGUCAAUCGAGAGGAGUUGAGAAUUUACUGACGCUCAAACAGGCAUGCUCCUCGGAACACCGAGGAGCGCAAGGUGCGUUCAAAGAUUCGAUGAUUCACUGUAGAUCUGCAAUUCACAUUACAUAUCGCUAUUCGCUGCGUUCUUCAUCGAUGCGAGAGCCAAGAGAUCCAUUGCUGAAAGUUGUAAUAACUUUUGUCUCAAAGAAUCGCAUCUCCUAGAAGUCGCGACUCGAUGAUAGUAAAAACAUUCAAAGACUUUCUACACGAAGAGGGGCAUAUGAAGACGCAGAGGUUGACCCUCCGCGCCCAUACGACCAAAGUCCAGAAAGAAAGCGUGCACGUGCCUAGGGCCAG